GACGAACGCUGGCGGCGUGCUUAACACAUGCAAGUCGAACGGAAAGGCCCUGCUUGCAGGGUACUCGAGUGGCGAACGGGUGAGUAACACGUGGGUGAUCUGCCCUGCACUUCGGGAUAAGCCUGGGAAACUGGGUCUAAUACCGGAUAGGAGCCAUUUUUAGUGUGAUGGUUGGAAAGUUUUUUCGGUGUAGGAUGAGCUCGCGGCCUAUCAGCUUGUUGGUGGGGUAAUGGCCUACCAAGGCGGCGACGGGUAGCCGGCCUGAGAGGGUGGACGGCCACAUUGGGACUGAGAUACGGCCCAGACUCCGACGGGAGGCAGCAGUGGGGAAUAUUGCACAAUGGGCGCAAGCCGGAUGCAGCGACGCCGCGUGGGGGAUGACGGCCUUCGGGUUGUAAACUCCUUUCGCUAGGGACGAAGCUUUUUGUGACGGUACCUAGAUAAGAAGCACCGGCUAACUACGUG
Molecule: ribosomal RNA, 465 nt
Filed under: uncultured bacterium
Lineage: Bacteria
Description: partial 16S ribosomal RNA
Rfam family: Bacterial small subunit ribosomal RNA
Source: RNAcentral